Molecule: ribosomal RNA, 253 nt
Filed under: uncultured bacterium
Lineage: Bacteria
Description: partial 16S ribosomal RNA
Rfam family: Bacterial small subunit ribosomal RNA
Source: RNAcentral
UACGUAGGGUCCGAGCGUUGUCCGGAAUUAUUGGGCGUAAAGGGCUCGUAGGCGGUCUGUUGCGUCGGGAGUGAAAACUUACAGCUUAACUGUGAGCGUGCUUCCGAUACGGGCAGACUUGAGGUAUUCAGGGGAGGACGGAAUUCCUGGUGUAGCGGUGGAAUGCGUAGAGAUCCCCAAGAACACCAGUUGCGAAGGCGGCCGUCUGGACACAUAUUGACGCUGAGGCUCGAAAGCAUGGGGAGCAAACAGG